Molecule: ribosomal RNA, 468 nt
Filed under: uncultured bacterium
Lineage: Bacteria
Description: partial 16S ribosomal RNA
Rfam family: Bacterial small subunit ribosomal RNA
Source: RNAcentral
GACGAACGCUGGCGGCGUGCUUAACACAUGCAAGUCGAACGGAAAGGCCCUGCUUUUGUGGGGUGCUCGAGUGGCGAACGGGUGAGUAACACGUGAGUAACCUGCCCUUAACUUUGGGAUAACUUCAGGAAACUGGGGCUAAUACCGAAUAGAAUCUCCUGCUGCAGGGUGGGGGUUGGAAAGUUUCGGCGGUUGGGGAUGGACUCGCGGCUUAUCAGCUUGUUGGUGGGGUAGUGGCUUACCAAGGCUUUGACGGGUAGCCGGCCUGAGAGGGUGACCGGCCACAUUGGGACUGAGAUACGGCCCAGACUCCUACGGGAGGCAGCAGUGGGGAAUAUUGCACAAUGGGCGGAAGCCUGAUGCAGCAACGCCGCGUGCGGGAUGACGGCCUUCGGGUUGUAAACCGCUUUCGCCUGUGACGAAGCGUGAGUGACGGUAAUGGGUAAAGAAGCACCGGCUAACUACGUG